AAAUUGAAGAGUUUGAUCAUGGCUCAGAUUGAACGCUGGCGGCAGGCCUAACACAUGCAAGUCGAACGGUAACAGGAAGCAGCUUGCUGCUUCGCUGACGAGUGGCGGACGGGUGAGUAAUGUCUGGGAAACUGCCUGAUGGAGGGGGAUAACUACUGGAAACGGUGGCUAAUACCGCAUAACGUCGCAAGACCAAAGAGGGGGACCUUCGGGCCUCUUGCCAUCAGAUGUGCCCAGAUGGGAUUAGCUUGUUGGUGAGGUAACGGCUCACCAAGGCGACGAUCCCUAGCUGGUCUGAGAGGAUGACCAGCCACACUGGAACUGAGACACGGUCCAGACUCCUACGGGAGGCAGCAGUGGGGAAUAUUGCACAAUGGGCGCAAGCCUGAUGCAGCCAUGCCGCGUGUAUGAAGAAGGCCUUCGGGUUGUAAAGUACUUUCAGCGGGGAGGAAGGUGUUGCGGUUAAUAACCGCAGCAAUUGACGUUACCCGCAGAAGAAGCACCGGCUAACUCCGUGCCAGCAGCCGCGGUAAUACGGAGGGUGCAAGCGUUAAUCGGAAUUACUGGGCGUAAAGCGCACGCAGGCGGUCUGUCAAGUCGGAUGUGAAAUCCCCGGGCUCAACCUGGGAACUGCAUUCGAAACUGGCAGGCUUGAGUCUUGUAGAGGGGGGUAGAAUUCCAGGUGUAGCGGUGAA
This 695-nucleotide ribosomal RNA is filed under the name Salmonella enterica. Its description in RNAcentral is "bacterial SSU rRNA". It matches the Rfam family "Bacterial small subunit ribosomal RNA", at positions 1 to 685 of the family's 1533-position model. The record is from RNAcentral. Lineage: Bacteria; Pseudomonadati; Pseudomonadota; Gammaproteobacteria; Enterobacterales; Enterobacteriaceae.